UGGGGAAUUUUGGACAAUGGGCGCAAGCCUGAUCCAGCAAUGCCGCGUGAGUGAAGAAGGCCUUCGGGUUGUAAAGCUCUUUUGUCAGGGAAGAAACGGUUCCGGCUAAUAUCUGGAGCUAAUGACGGUACCUGAAGAAUAAGCACCGGCUAACUACGUGCCAGCAGCCGCGGUAAUACGUAGGGUGCAAGCGUUAAUCGGAAUUACUGGGCGUAAAGCGUGCGCAGGCGGUUUUGUAAGUCUGUCGUGAAAGCCCCGGGCUCAACCUGGGAAUUGCGAUGGAGACUGCAAGGCUUGAAUCUGGCAGAGGGGGGUAGAAUUCCACGUGUAGCAGUGAAAUGCGUAGAGAUGUGGAGGAACACCGAUGGCGAAGGCAGCCCCCUGGGUCAAGAUUGACGCUCAUGCACGAAAGCGUGGGGAGCAAACAGG
Molecule: ribosomal RNA, 429 nt
Filed under: uncultured Massilia sp.
Lineage: Bacteria; Pseudomonadati; Pseudomonadota; Betaproteobacteria; Burkholderiales; Oxalobacteraceae
Description: bacterial SSU rRNA
Rfam family: Bacterial small subunit ribosomal RNA
Source: RNAcentral